RNAcentral lists this long non-coding RNA (32969 nucleotides) under Citrus sinensis (sweet orange). RNAcentral's name for it is "long non-coding RNA (CSIN_LNC002927)". Lineage: Eukaryota; Viridiplantae; Streptophyta; Magnoliopsida; Sapindales; Rutaceae. The record is from RNAcentral.
GAAAGAAGAAACUAUAGUGAUAUCAGUCUAUUGGUGCAUGGAUCGUUGGUUGUCCAUUCACUUUACUAGGACUAGAAGUGCUAAUUGAACAAGUCAUUUGUUUGCUUCCAACUAAUUAUACCCACUAUAAAACAGAUGAUGAUAAUGUGGUGACAGUUUAAAUCUGUGCUCUCUAUGUGUUCUAUCCUAUAUCAUAAACUUCAUGCACAAAAAGGGAAAAAAAAAAGGACAGAGUUCUAUGGCACCACAUUUCUUACACAAAUUAUUUAAUCAAGGACAGUAAAAUUUAAUCUCAACCAAUUGAAAGUGUUGGCCAAAAAAUUGUAUAGAAAAUUCGAUACCUUAGAAAGUUAACCCAAAAUAAAAACAAAAUCAUCUGCUAAAUAGAAACUAACAUAUAUUUAUGCUUAUUCUAUAGUUAUGUACUAUAGCUGUUUAUAUAGAGUAUACAAUUAGUGAGGUCAAUCAUAAAAUGUGUAUUAUUAUUUUUUUUUUCAUAUGAAUGAGUUUUAUUAUCAAUAUUCAUAUGUACUGAAUGAUUCAUCUCUCAGUUGAUGUAAUAAGUGAUUAAAAAAUGGUUUUUUAAAAUAAUUUAUCGUAUUUUUCUAGAAUUUCAUUAAUGAUGCAUCUCAUUCAUCAUUAAUCACUAACAGUGCGGUCUGACUCAAGUGCAAGUCCAUUGCCCAAUGACUCGCCACUUAUUUUUUUCUGAAAAAUAUUGUACUGUUGCAACUUGCAACUUGCAACUUGUGUCUGUGUGUGUUUUUAGAAAAUAGAGAGAGACCGAAACUUACUUCAUAUGCUUAGUAUGAAGAAGCUUUCCGUCCAAACAAAUGGACGCAUCAAGCUCUUCAUUCUGGUACAACACAUUUGGAUCCGAGACCAUAUCCAGAUUUCUCUUCCUGAAGGCAGCCACACACACUUGCAUCAAUCGGACAAACGGACUCCCAGCCGGAUCCAAGUUCCGGUAAAGCGGGUACCCGAAUACGAAUGCAAUGAUUGAUAGAAACAUUGCAACUGUUGGGAUACCGAGACCCCAGUUCCAUCCAACAUUAUCUUGAAUAUAAACAAGAACCGUCACGGCCACUAGUACUGCUGCUCCCAUAACAAAAUAAUACCAGUUAAAAUACUUCCACGUCUUUGUUGCUUGUUUGGGGUCUGUUUCAUCAAACUGGUCAGCCCCGAAUGCCACCACGCAGGGUCGGAUUCCACCCGACCCAAGGGCCGCCAGCAGAAGAGAUGCAUAUAAGAUUGCCAACUGUCCUGUAUCAGCUUCUUUGCAAACUUGGUCACCUUGGCAUGGUGGUGGCCUUAGUUGUGGCAGAAUUGCUGACAACGUUAAGGAGAACAUUCCCUGAUUACAAUAAAAAGAAGAAUUUCUUAGACAAAUUAUUAUUAUUAUUUUUAAUCUUUUUAAUCAGAGUGAGUGAGAGCUUGUUAAUAUUACGUACUAUUUGAUAAAUGAUGGAAGCAACUGUUAUAGUCCAAAAGCGUCCGGCGUAAGUAUCGGCGACGAAAGCUCCGAUCAACGGAGUCAAGCUGCCGGUUCCUCCGAAGUUGGUGAGAGUGUUGGCAGCUUUGGUUAAUGGCAUAUGCAACUGUGUUGUUAAGUAGCUGAUCAUGUUAGCAUGAAACCCCACCACGGCCAACUUCUCACACACCUCAUUUGCUACACCAAAAUCAUAAAACCAUCAUAAUUAAUCAACAAAAUAAUAAUAUAUAAAAAUGACGCUGAAGAAGAAGAACAAGUUAGUAAUUAAAUCUAUAGAUCACAGAGCAUUUUGAAGUUAAUCAAUUACCAAAUAUGAAGGGCAUGGUGAUGAUGCCACCCUUUUUCCUAUUGACAUGGCUGCCGCCUUUCUCCUCCAUCUUCUGUACCAUUGUCUUUCUAUGUGGUUAGCUAGCGAUGGUGUGGCCAAGAGCCUAUUUAUAGGCAGAUGCGAAUGUUUUUAACACGGUAAAUUAAUAAUGCCUCUGAGUGAUUUUUCUAAUUUUCACCGCAGCAAAAUACAUGGCCAGUAUGAGAAUUGCAUGUGAGAUUGUAAAUAUACGUGUAUGGUAGGUUUCGCAUGUAAGUUUUGAUGAGUCAGGCCCACGUGCGGACAUUUAUAUUUUAAAACCAUCUUAAAAGAGCUAAAGAAUAAACAACACGUAAUCCAAUAUACUAAAAGAUAAAAUAAAUAUAUUAAAAAUAAUUUUUUGAUCUUUUAUUUCUGUCAUAUUUUAAAAUCACCCAGACGUCCGCACUCAAGCACCACUCAAGUUUUGAUAUUUUCUGUUUUUCCCAGUCUGCUUUAUUUAUAAACAUUGCAUUUUGGUUGUUUUGAAAUUUUGCCAGUCCGGGUAGAAUUCGGGCAAUCUUGCCUAGACAAGUUUCUGCCUAUGUAUAAACCUUAAAAGUAAUAUGAAUUAAUUAUAACAAAAAAUGUAUGAGUUUUUGAUGUGGAGAAUGGGAUUGAUAGGAGAUAUAGUGGGAGACACUCGUAUUAAUGUUAAUUAAAAUUAAAUCCCUUCUCUUACUUUAAAUACGAAACUAAUUGGACUGUAUUUAUGCUCUUAAUUAAGAUUAAGCUAUGAAGAAUAUGAAGAUACAGACUGGAGCAUUAUUAGGUUUAUGAUAACAGACGAGAACUGCCAUCUUUACAUUAUAAAUUUGGGAGUUGCAAAUGCCCACCAUUCUUUUUCCCUUUAUUUUAUCAUUGUUGAUUUCACUAUAGUUAUUCGAUAUCUUUUGCUACACAUCAAUACUUCAUCCAUUUCCAGAGCGGAACAACAAUAUGUUCUUGGAUUGCUUCAAGUUGGAAGACAAGCAUAAUCUUCAAUUCCAUUAAGGCAAAAAGGCAAAUAAAACCAAUUACGCACCAAGUCACGAGAACUCUGGAAAAGCCAGUAUUUCAGUUUUUAUACAUAAUAUAACGACAUUACAGUGUUUAUGAAAUCAAUAUAUCCAAUACCAACGGUCAUAUUUCGUCUUAAUACGUAAAAUUUACCUUCAAAUAUGUUAUAAAUCAAGGGAGUGGCUAUGAUUUUUGAAGGCACUUUUCCCCCCUAGGUUUUAAGAUGGCAAAGCACUGAUCUUGUCUUGUUUGCAUGAAUUAUAAAAUUUGUAAAUAUAGAAGAGUCUGAAUAAUUUUACAAAGCCCUUGAGUUUUGAUACAAAUGCUUAUAUCACACGUUUGAUGUCACAAAUUCCGAAUAUGUUACCAUUACAAGUUCUCACAUGACAUGGUCAUUUGUUAUUAUUUUAUAGCUCACACACACAUUAGUUACAAUGUUACCCUUGAGUUUUGUUCCAAAGGGGUGUAUACAUAUGUGUGUGUGUUCAUAGGCACCUUUCUCUUACAAGACAGAUUUUAGAUGAUGAGUUCUACCGAAUUUGUGACUAUUAGUAUUAAUAAGAGCAGUCACCAUGUCUAAUAUGAGAUUGGCAUAUACAUAUAUAUAUAUAUAUAUAGGUGCAAGUUUGUGACCAUUGUUAGGGAUGGGGCGACUUGGGGAGGGCAAAUUCGCGAUGUUACCUAGCUGGCUGCCGUUGAGAACAGUUGUUGUGAUGAAUUGUUACCAUCUCUUAUCCGACAAGUCUAUUUUGAGGUUGGUUAGGUUCCACCCAUGAAUUUGUAGGGUCAUCGAUUCAUUUCGGCUCGAUCUUCUUCUGGAACAAUCUGAUCCAAUAAUUUACAUAGUUGAUGCUUCAACAAUAAUAGGUCGACAGAUCAAUUUAAGCAUGCCAGUAGAUACGUUUUCAAAUGAAUUGAUUAUGCCCUUGAAUUUUAGAAGCCGACAGAUAAAAUAAAGUUGCUCCCGUACUGCAAGCAUGAUGUGAUUUUAGAGUCUUGACAGACUUGUAUUGCGAAAAUGUGGCCUAGCCAGCACUAUCAUUGAACAAGAAGAUAACAGCGACCGAAAGAGAGAAUUUUAGAAAGUUCAAUAAGCAUAUCAUGGACAGAACAAGGAGUUGCAUGCGGCUCAGUCUUAAAGCUGUAAUGCCCACAAACUUUAUAGUCUUUGACGUGAGAAAUGAUGCAAGCAGAAGCAAAGUUGGGAUGAAUAACCAAUUUAGCCUAUUCAGAAUCGAUCACAAAGUUUUACGUGUUCAACGGUCGAUGAAUCAUCCACGUGUCGCUCAAUCAUUUUUCGUUUUCGUUGCGACCCUUGGACCGCAGCAUCGCUGUUUCUCUAUUCCAGUCCUAGUCUGACACAUAAGGAAAGAGGCGGGUGGGCUGGGUGGGAAUGUGGGCCUGUUUAGAAGACUGAUGUGACCAAGUGGUCCUUUGUAGUUGAGAUUAUGACAUGAGGCCGACCUCAGAGAGAUUUACUUAUUUGUCUUUUUUUGAUCGGAGCAUAUGAUUUUGUUCCCCCUUUUAAAAAGUAAGGCAUAGGCAAGUUUAAAUUGCCACACCUUGGGAACGAGUGCAUGAAUGAAAAUAAAUUGUGAGAAUUUUUAGCGUGAAUUAUUCUCUUAAGCCUCUCAAUAAAAAAAUAAAAAAUGUAUUUAUUGUUUUAAUUGGAAAUUAAAGUAAUGAUAAGACAUUCUAAAAUUUUAUCAUGAAUUUCAUUUCAUUUCAAAUGAUAUAACUUGUAACGUGUUAUUCAUUAAGUGGUUGAUGGUUUUUUAUAAAUUUCAUUAAUUACAUUAUCUCAAAUCUCAAUGAAUGAUCAAUGACACAUCAUUUAUGAUGCAAUUUUAGGAUGGAAUUAUUAGUGUUAUUGGAUGAGAGAUUAAUGGCAUAAUUGCUGAAAUGGAAACGUUAUUAAGUUUGCUUGAUAGAAGAAAUUAGGUUUUUGAAUAAUGAAAAAUCUUAAUGAAAGUUUGAAUGAAUAAAACUAUAGUUUUGUGGCCUUUUUAUAACAAGCUUAAAUAUCACGAAUUUACCAAAAUAGGCAAAUCUGAAAUAUAACAUAAUAAUUAAAUUCUCCUAAUCAAAAUAAGAAAAUAAAAACAAACGGUACUCAAAUCCGAUUCUAGAAAAAAAAAAGAUAAAAAUCCUAGAAGAAUGAGGAAAAAUAUUAAAACUAGAAAAUGUCCAGAAAAUAAGCGGAAUAUCUGGCUUGAACCUGGGGCAAAACGACUUAGCGUUUUUGGGUUUUAUUCUCCUCGUCGUAGGCUUCAAAACGGUAUAUUAUACUCCAAAAACAGACACUUGUAACCUAAGUUAUGGUCUCUAAAAGGUACACUGCUCGUGACACACAUCACCUUACAUCAAUAAUACAAAAGACAAAUUUAUAAUCUAAUAUUAAUUAUAAUGUAAAACGUCAAUUUAUUACUAUGAGUUUUGUGUUUUAUUUGAAUCUAGUAAUUUCAAUAAUGUCACUACACAUUAUCAUCAGAAGAUCUUUGAAUAUUGGUUGUUUUCAUUUGGACUUGUUAUUAGUAAGGGCAUCUUCUGAGAAUAUGGGCGGUGAGAGUAUAAUGCAGCCUUUUGUCCUUAGUUGGUGUUUGGUUUUAAGAAAGUGGAGGGAAGGAGAGGAGAAAAAAAAGAGAAGAGUGGAAAGAUGAUGAGAGGAGAAGAGUGCAAAAAUUAACUACUAUUAUUUGGUUUCACAUUAAAUUUAAAAUGAAAAGAAAUUACAUAUUUUUUAUUUGGACAAAUAUACCCACUAUCUUUAAUGUUAAUAUUGUUAGUAAAUAAAAAUAAUAAUUAAAGUAUGAAUUAAUUUAAUCUGGCAAUUACAUUGUUAAAUAGAGAAUUGUUUUUAAAUUACAACAUUAGGUCAUGGAUAACCAUCAUGUUGACUGCCGUUGACCAUCAUUUUUCAUCACGUUAAAUACAUAAUAAUGAUCAGAAAUGAAUCAUUUACUCAUUGGAAAUAUUAAAUUUUGUAGAAAAUACACUAUAUAGUUGGAAAUAUGAGAGUUAAAAUUUUCCCAAGCAUUUAAAAAAGACUCGAGGUAGAUAACAACGUAUAUUAGUAUUUCUAACUCCAUAGAGUACAUGAGGAUUCUAUUAGUACUAGUUUUGAUGGUAAAGCGUGUCUCCAGUGAAACUCCGACGAGUCUCCAGUGACUGUCCAACGAUUCACCUUACUGCUUUAUCCUAUUAAUGUAAGAAAAUAAACAUAAAUUAUUUGCAUUUGGAUUGAUUAAUGACGGCAAAGAGAUAAAAUAUUUCAGUCAUUUGUUGGCAUUAAUGAAUUUUCUGAUGAGUUGGACUAUUGGCAUCCCUCUAAUCUACUCACAAAACUCCCCUUUUUAGUUAUAUUCAUUUUAUUUUUGAAAAUGCCCAUUUUUUUAGAUACACUUUUCUAAGUUCUCAAUUUUCAUUUGAUUUGUUUUAUUGUUAAAACUCUAAGUAUUUAUUGUGCUAUUUUUUUAAUUAUUUUCAAUUUUAUUAUUAUCCUACACACAAGUCAAAAAGUUAUAUGUACACUAUAUAGUUGGAAAUAUGAGAGUUAAAAUUUUCCCAAGCAUUUAAAAAAGACUCGAGGUAGAUAACAACGUAUAUUAGUAUUUCUAACUCCAUAGAGUACAUGAGGAUUCUAUUAGUACUAGUUUUGAUGGUAAAGCGUGUCUCCAGUGAAACUCCGACGAGUCUCCAGUGACUGUCCAACGAUUCACCUUACUGCUUUAUCCUAUUAAUGUAAGAAAAUAAACAUAAAUUAUUUGCAUUUGGAUUGAUUAAUGACGGCAAAGAGAUAAAAUAUUUCAGUCAUUUGUUGGCAUUAAUGAAUUUUCUGAUGAGUUGGACUAUUGGCAUCCCUCUAAUCUACUCACAAAACUCCCCUUUUUAGUUAUAUUCAUUUUAUUUUUGAAAAUGCCCAUUUUUUUAGAUACACUUUUCUAAGUUCUCAAUUUUCAUUUGAUUUGUUUUAUUGUUAAAACUCUAAGUAUUUAUUGUGCUAUUUUUUUAAUUAUUUUCAAUUUUAUUAUUAUCCUACACACAAGUCAAAAAGUUAUAUGGGGUGAUAAGUUUUUUAGUGUUAAUCAUUGGCUGAAAUAACACAUAUUUCAAAUUAUAAGUUCAAAGCAAUCUUAAGUAUAAAAAUAUUUAAACAAUAAGAAAUCAAAAAAGAAUAAUAGAUUAUUCUAAAUUUGUACAAUUUUAUUUUAGUUAGAUAGGAAGUAACACAUAGAAUUUUUUUUUAUUAAAAAGAACUGAUUAUGAAUUAAGUAAUUUGCUGGGAAAAAAAUAUAUAUGUGUUUAAUUUUCAAAUGUCCUUCAUUAUAAUUUUAUUUAAAGUAGGGUUUUAUAAGAAUAAUGUAGGGGUGCUAACAGUUCCACUCUUUUAUGAUAUUUAUAAAUUUUCUGAUAUUUGUUUAUUACGGUAAAUGUUAAACCAGAUUUUGCGAUCAUUCUUCUAGGUCCCACUUCUAAUUACAAAAGACUAAACUACCACACUUGCCAAUACUCUCAGCAAAAAUUAACACAAUACUAGUUGAAUCUAACUCACAAAACAAAACAAACUCACAGUAAAAGAAGCUAAGUUCGAAUCCUCUACACUUAUAUGUCUGUCGCAACUCAUAUUUUCUUGCAUAAUUAUCGUAAUAUCAACAAUUCAUGAAGUGUAUAUAUAUAAAGGUCCCACAAAACAACAUUUUACAAUUUUCAACUACAAGUUUUAACAUAUACUGUUAAUAGAAAUUAGCACAAUACAAGCUAUAUCAUCACAAAUUCAUAACCAGCACAAUCGAAUUUCGAAUAAAUGAAGCAAAUUACCUCCACAGAUUGAUUACGGCAGCCAACGACGAGUGAAGCCGAGAGAGUAAAGUUGCAAGUGAAUUUUCCCACGUAGCCGAGAGAAUGAAACACUGUGAGGGAGAGUCGACGAUUAAAGGCACUGUUGUGGUGUGGGAGAGUUUGCUAGUAAGAUUUGUGGCUUGAGUGAGGUGUGUAUUUGGUGGGAGUCAGAGGGAGAAUGUGCGUGUGUUGUCUGCCUUGCAUUCAGCAGUGACAUUUUAUAUUGUGCUCAAAAUGCACCAUUCAAUGCUUAAUGUUGUGUGAAUAUCAAAAGUGGAACAGGAUAUUGAGGAAUUUUCCUACUUAUAAGUCCAAAUAACUCGUUUUUACUAACAUAUGACACAACUCAACAUAAAACUCAAACUCGUAAUGCUAGAAGCAAAAUGAAUAAAGCAGAGAACGAAGCAUAUGUAGCGCUCAUUUUUAAAGCUAUAAAAUAUGUAAUUUUGAGGGAUGAUAGCUACGGAAGCAUUAAUUUGGUUCUAACUUAUCCCAAAAAAUAUUUGAUAAUUAACUUAAGGGAAAUUAUCACCGGUAUACCCUUAAAUGUCGCCGGUAUCAAACGUAUUACAACACUUUUCACUUAUAUCACUCGUAUAUCCUAAGUUGACAAAAGAGUUCUGGCGUCCACCUUUCCGUUUACUACAGUUAAGAACUUAACAUAAUUUGAGCAAAAUGACUAUUUUACCCUUUAAAUUCAAAAUGAGGUAAAAAAAUAAAUUUACCUUGAAAAUUAAUGUAAAUUUUCAAUACACAAUUUUUUUUAUUUUGUUAUUAACAAUACAUUUUUUUAUUAAAAAAUAUGAAUUAUUAAUGGUACAUAUUAUUAACAAUUAUCCAUAAAAAACAUCUAUCUUAUUCCAUAAAACAUUAUUAACAACAUAUUAUUUAUAAUUAUAUAUAUUAUACCAUAAAAAAUUCAAGUUGGAGCUUGGAGGAGUAGAUCUUUAAUAAUUUAGGUUAAAUUUGGAGGAGUAGAUUCAGUUGUAAAGUAGUUUUUUUUUAGCAAUUAUUAACAAUUAUCCGAUAAAUGGAGGACAUGUCAUUUUUAUAAAAAUAUAUCACAUGGCAUGUCGUUUUUUACUAGGUAAAUAGGAUGACAUGUCGUUUUUUAAAAAAAAGACUAAACUACCCUUAUAAUGUCAGCGCUCGCAAACGGUAGUUAACGGAUCGAUGGACGGCAGAAGUGUUUUGUCAACUUAGGGUAUACAAGUGAUACACUUGAAAAAUGUUGUAGCACGUUUGAUACUCGUGUCAUUUAAGGGUAUAUGGCUGAUAAUUUUCCUUAACUUAAAGCAAGUAUCCAAACUUGCAUCCAAAAUUGUAUUUGGUGGGAGUCAGAGGGAGAAUGUGCGUGUAUUGUCUGUCUUGCAUUCAACAGUGACAUUUUAUAUUGUGCUCAAAAUGCACCAUUCAAUGCUUAAUGUUGUGUGAAUAUCAAAAGUGGAACAUGAUAUUGACGAAUUUUCCUACUUAUAAGUUCAAAUAACUCGUUUUUACUAACAUGUGACACAACUCAACAUAAAACUCAAACUCGUAAUGCUAGAAGCAAAAUGAAUAAAGCAGAGAAUGAAGCAUAUGCAGCGCUCAUUUUUAAAGCUAUAAAAUAUGUAAUUUUGAGGGAUGAUAUCUACGGAAGCAUUAAUUUGGUUCUAACUUAUGCCAAAAAAUAUUUUGAUAAUUAACUUAAAGCAAGUAUCAAAAAUUGCACCCCCCCCCCCUCCCUAAAGUUGCUUUCAUGAUGAUUUUGCACGGGUAUAGACUUGCCACUGAAAAUUACAUAUAGGGAAAAGGGCCAUAUAUAAAGUAAAUGAAAUAUUAAUUUGAUGGAACUUUCGCAACUCUUUUGCCCGAAUACAUGCAAUUAGUAAUAUCUUAAAGUGAAAGUGAAAUGGAUAUAAAAUUAUUUUAUAUAAACUAAUGUGAUAUAAAUAUAUUGGCCGGAUAUAAUAAUUCUCGAAAAAUAUAAUUAAUUUAUAUUAUAUUAUAUUUUCAUCCAAUUAAUAUAAUUAUGCCACAUUAGUUUGUACAUGAGUUUGUAGUACUAUUAUCACUCCAACAUAAAGUAAUUUUUAUUACACCCAACUAAUAUGUUUAUGUCACAUUAGUUUGUACAAAAUAAUUUUGUACCAAGAACUAUUUUAUAUUUUCAUCAUAACAAUAAAUAUGGACUCAAUUUCUUAGUUAACAAUUUAUGCGCAUCAAUAUUACCUCAAAAAUACCCAUUUAGAACUGCAGGGAGUAGAGAACAAUAGCAAGAUUUUAGUUUUAAUGUAUAAAAUUGAAGCUGAUGUGCUCUAAUGGAAUUCUUCCUCUCUAUCAUUAUUUUGCAUGCAUAUUAUUCAGAAUAAGCACCUAUAUAUAAUUUCCCUAUGAUACAGACGGUACCUUGGAGAGAAGAGAGAAGGCGGUACCUUGGAGAGAAGAGAGAAGGGGAAUUUCCCUAUGAUACAGACGGUACCUUGGAGAGAAGAGAGAAGGGGAAAAAAAAAAAAAGAGGCUAGGACUAAAUUGUUUCGCUUCCAACAGUGCCUUGAAACUGCAACUAAACUUUGUUCCCAAGCUCUACUCCUUCUUCUUCUGACGAGUCACUGCCUUUAUUAUGAACCUGAAUGGGCUUAAAAGUAUACAUCUUAGCGCAAAAUAUAUAGUAAAUAAGAUUAGCCACUUGCAACAACGUGAUCAACCAGUAGAAAUACUCCAACUUUCCCUUGUUCAAAUUAUUAUCCGGCAGCCAAUUUGAUCCAUUAGGUCCAGCACUGAACUUGUGCACCAACGUAACCAAAAAUGUGCUGAAAUAAUUUCCAACUGAAAUUGCAGUCCAAAACAAUGCGGUAGCCGUGCUUCUCAUGCUCUCCGGCGCCUGAUCAUAGAAAAACUCCAGGUGACCAAUUGACAUAAAUGCUUCAGCUAUCCCGUGGAGACUGUACUGUGGCACAAGCCAAAACACUGAAAUGGGGAUAAUCGUAUGAGGCUUGUCCACGAGGCCAUGAGCCGCAGCUGCUUGUUUUCUCUUCACUUCAACCAAGCCAGCAACGAGAGUGGCGAACACUGAUAUGACGAAGCCUAUUCCCAUGCGGUGCAGGAACGUGAUGCCGCGGUCGAGGCCGGUGAAUUUGCGGGUGAAGGGGAUCAAUAAGCGGUCGUAUAAAGCGAUUGUGGAGAGCAUGGAGACGAUUGUGAAGACAGACAUUGAGCCAGCUGGGAUUUGGAAGGACUUAGUGACAUGCCUGUCCAUUGAUUUGGCCUGUUGUAAGGAGAAUGUGCUUUGCUGUGCAUAGGCUGUGAUUAGGAGGAUGCCUGAUGCCCAAAUGGGUCCCAUUCUGAUCACAGAUUUGAGCUCCUCCACGCGGUGCACAGUGUUCAGUCUCCAUAGAUUUGGUGACUUGAGGUCGUCGCCUUCAGUCACAAUCGCUGCCUUGUCAAGAAAUCUGCAGUGCACCCAUGAAAUUUAUUUAUAUACAAAUUGAUUAUUUCAUUGGAGUUCUUUAAAUUUUAUUAUGACGAUUAAUUGAAGGCAAAUGUGAACAAAUUUUGCACUGUGAUUUAGAAAUGUGAACAAAUUUUGUACAAUAAUUGUAACAUACAUCUCAACAGCAAUGUGAACAAAAAGAAGAUGGCAACUUAGAAACGUGUCAUCACUGCGCUCAAGGAUCACAAAUGGGGUGAUUGUGACAAGUCAAGCGACACAAAGCGAUGCACACGUACUAGCUUUUGUUGUUUACUAUAAUAGCUAGGUAGCCUGAGAUCAAAUAUGUAGUGCUUAUGACGAUUAAUUGACAAUAUCUAUGAUUGCGGUCCAUUCCCACUUUAUACAAAUUGAUCGAGUGACCAUUCGUUUGCUUCCGACUAAUGAUACGGCACGAUAAAGCUGAUGGUGAUAAUGUUGUGACGAUUAAAUCGGUGGUAUAUAUCCCUUCCAAAAUGUUUCAUAAACUUAAUAACAAUAUUAAAAAUCAAAAUAAAAUGAGUAAUUAAUGCGUGCAUACAUAGUUUUAUAUGCUUAUAAAAUUAUUACUUCUUUAAAUUUACAUCUUAGUUUAAUUUACUUUAUUAAUUUUUAUACUACACUAAUAAUUCUUACUAUAUAAAUUAUGUAUCUCUAACUAUAAAUAUAUAUUAAUACUCAAAUUAGAAAGAUUCACACCUAUUCUACAUUCAAUGAAAAUAAUUUCUUGAGAGUCAUAAUUAUACUAGUAUAACAACAAAAACCAUAUUUGUUAGGCUUUUUUUUAAUUAAUUCAUGUAUCAUUAGAUAUAUAAUUCCAAGAAAGUCUUUGGUGUUCUUGGAACAUGACUCAUUAAUUUAUAAUUUACCACGUGUACAUAGGAUAAGUAUAUAUUUUAGUUGAAGCAUAUGAAAAAAAAAAUAUAAAAGAAAUGCAUUACUCUAGAAGCACUCAAUAACCUUUUAAACACAUCAUGACACGAUUCUAUCAUCCAUCAUUAUCAAUUAUUGACUAAAUCCAUUAAUUGAUGUCCAAUAAAUUUAGUCCCAUUAAAAAUUUCUGUUAAAUAUAUAUUAUAGCUCGAUGCAACUUGUGUUUGUGUUUAUCAUAGAGAUAUGGAAAUAGGGAGACUUACUUCAUAUGCUUAGUGUGAAGAAGCUUUCCACCCAAAGAAAUGGCGGCAUCGAGCUCUUCAUUCUCAUAUAAUAAUUUUGGAUCAGUGACCAUCGUCAGCUUUCUUUUCCGAAACGCUGCCACACACACUUGUAACAACCGGGUAAACGGACUCCCAGCCGGAUCCAAGUUCCGGUAAAGUGGGUACCCGAUCAAGAACGCAAUGAUUGAAAGAAACAUGGCAAAAGUUGGAAUACCGAGGCCCCAUCCCCAUCCAAUAUUAUCUUGAAUAUAAACAAGAACUGUCACAGCCACUAGUAUUGCUGCCCCCAUGACAAAAUAAUACCAAUUAAAAUAUUUCCAUGUCUUUGUUGCUUGUUUGGGGUCCGUCUCGUCAAAUUGGUCCGCGCCAAAUGCCACCACACAGGGUCGGAUUCCACCCGACCCGAUAGCAGCGAGGAGAAGGGAGACAUAUAAGAUUGCUACCUGUCCUUUAUUAGCUUCUUGGCAAACUUGUUCACCUUCACAUGGCGGUGGCCUUAGUUUUGGUAGAAUUGCUGAGAUUGUCAAGCAAAUCAUUCCCUGAUUACAUUAAUAAAGUAGAACGUUACAAAAAAUAGAAAAAAUCAUAAACUCAUUUUCAGAAACAUGUACAUAUAUGUUAGAGAAACAAUUAUUUUUUAGAGAAACAUGUGCAUAUAUUUUACAUUAAUUAACUUGGAAAUAUAAUUGACGAAAUUUUUUUCUUUUGAUGGGGAAGAGAGAGAGAGAGAGAGAGAGAGAGAGAGUAGUUUAUUAAUUACAAUUUGAUAAAUGAUGGAAGCUAUAGUUAUAGUCCAAAAGCGACCGGCGUAAGCAUCGGCGACGAAGGCUCCGAUCAACGGAGUCAAGCUGCCGGUUCCUCCAAAGUUGGUGAGAGUGUUGGCAGCUUUGGUUAAUGGCAUGUGCAGUUGUGUUGUUAAGUAGCUAAUCAUAUUAGUGUUAAACCCCACCACAGCUAACUUCUCGCAGACCUCAUUUGCUACGCAAACAAAAGUCAUAAAACCCUCGUAAAUGUAAGUAAUGAAUAAAAAGAAAUUUGAAUCAAGAAGAACAAGAAGCUUUGUAUAAACCACACAUAUUUUAAAAGCUUACAAAAAAUGAAGGGCAUGGUGAUCAUGCCACCCUUUUGUCUUUUGACAUGGCUGUUGCUUCCUUUUUCCUCCAUAUUUUCUAUCAUUUUCUGUGUGUGGAUAGAUUGCUAAAAAUGGCGAGCCCUAGAGGCUAUUUAUAGGACAAUAUGAAAGUUUUUAUCACAGUAAAAUAACGCCUGCAAAUUUAUCUAAUAAAUUUCACUACAGCCACAAAUAUUUAAGAACUGUGCAUGCGCAUGCGGUUAUAUAUAAAAGACUUGAUAGGCAUUUAAAAUGGAAGGGGACAUACGUGACAGGUCCUGCAGGCAAGUUUUGUUGUUAUCCCCAUUUGUCCAGUUUGAAUUGUUGGUGAAUGCUAGUGGUGUGAACUGGACCGGAUUGAUGAGUGAUGACUUGAGGAAGGCAUAACCAAAACUGAUUUAAAAGCCUUUCCUUAAAAUAAAGUAAAGCAUGCAUCAGCAUUAAUUAAUCACUACAAAAUUGCACAUACUAUUGGGGAGUGCGAGUGCUUACAAAUGCCGACGACAGAAUUUAAACUCUAGGUGUUGGCUCAUAUGUAAGUCUUAUACAUAUUUGAGAGAUCACUAGAUUGUAUUUGAUCGGUGACUCAAGCGUAAAAAAUUUAAGUUAAACUCAACCCAUUGAUAAAUAUCAUAUAUUUAAUAUGAUAGAAUGCAAAUAAUUGUGAAUAUAUAGUUGGAUGAGUGAAAAUAAUAAAAUUUAUUGCAUAACAUUAUAUUCUAUAUAGGGUAAAGGUACUUUUAGUCAAUAUAUUUUAACUUCAGUGUCCAUUUAAUUCUUAUAUUUUAAAAAAUAUCUCAAGAUACUACUUCUAUUAAAUAUUUUACAAUCUCACUCUUACUAUUUCUUUGCUUUUAUAUAAUACCCUUACAACAAUACUUUUUACAUUAGUUUUUUAAUUUAUAAAAAUUAAUUAGCAAAUUAACCAAUAAUUACUUAUUAGCAAGUUAAGAAAUAAAAUUUUAGUUUUGAAACCAUUGAUGAUUUUUCAUACCCUUGCAACAAUCUUGCUAGUUAUUAUCUAUAACUAAAUUAAUACAAGUCAAUUUUAAGCAAUGUUUAAUACACUUGCAACAACCUUAGUAGUAAUUUUUUGUACAAAAUUAAUACCAAAAGUAACAUGAUAAUAAUAAUUUUCAGUUUACUUUUGAGGCUAAUGUAUUAAAUUCACAUUUUUUUUAUUAAUAUCUCCGAGAAUAUUGUUGUAAUGAUAUUAUUGUAAAGGUAAAGAAAAAUUAAAAACACGAUUGUAUUACAAUUACCAAUAAGGAUGCCUUGAGGUAUUUUUUUUUUAAAUAUAAAGACUAAAUCAGCACUUAAUACAAAAUAGAGAGACUAAAUAAGUAUUUACCCUUUUAUAUAUUAUAUAAAUGUAAGCCUAAACCCUUCUUAACAUUGAUGCGAGCUAGUUUAGUGUUAUUCCAAACUUUGAAUCUCUUGCAUUACCUUAAUAAUUUUUUUUUCAAUUGAAUCAAUUAUCAUCUUAUAACUUGUGUAUAUAAAUAAUAAGUUUGCACCACUAGUUUGUAUGUACGUGGUGCUUAUUAAUAUUUUUGUGGACGAUGCUGUUGAUAUUAUUGUAUGUAACACUACGAAGUUGUAUUAUUUUAUUAAUCCAAAACAUAUAUGAAAAGUAACCACAAAGUUAAACAAAGAGAGAGAACUAGAGAGAGUGUCUAUUUUUUUUUUAUCUGUUUCAAAAUGUUCUUCUUAUAUCACCACAAAAUUUGAAUUCCGUAGAGAAGAGGUACCAUAUUCUGCACACUUCGAAGAUCAAUUUUUUCUUUAAUUUGAAAAAUGAAAAACAAUACGAUAUGCCCCUUUAAUUUCCCCCCCCCCCCCCCUUCCACGUGACUGACUGUAAACCCUUGCUCUUAUUGGAUGGCUGUAAAGACUAUGAAGUAUGGAAGACACAAAUCUGGAACAUUAAUUAUUAAAGUGAAAUCUCUUUAUUCGUAUAUAUCAUUAUCCAUAUGGACCAUAUAUAAUUUUUUUUAUAGCAUCAACAUAAAUGCGGUACGUGGAAUUUAUGUAUAUUUUUUAAUAGACGUAGAAUUCAUAUUAAGAAGGAAUAUAUUGUCAAUUUGUCCACACUUCUUUUUAAUUUUUUCAUUGUAGGUUUUAGACUUUUAGUUGAGUAAAAUGGAAUUCUCCAAUGAGCCUUCGUUACACGAAUACCAAAUUCAAUUAUUGUGUUCCAGUUGAAAAGGAACUAUAAUACUUUUGAACUGAUCCGAGCGGGAAGAUAUUCACAAUCUUCAAUUUCAUCGAAGCAAAAAAGCAAACCCAAUUGACCAAAUAUUGCACAAAUGAUCUGCAAGAGCCUGUAUAUUCAUUCAGAUUCUCACGGUACAAAUAGUAUUAAUGAAAUAAAUAUCCCAACAAUCAAUCUUAGUUAGGUCCUUUGAUUGUAAUGCAACGGUAUCUUGUCUAAAAGCGUCUCAUAUUUGAUAACAACUGGAAUAGCAAUAAAAUAUAUGAGGCACUUUUCGAACUUAGACGAUGUCGUGUCAAGAUGUGUAGAACAUUGUUUAUUUUGUAAUAAUCUACACUUGUAAUUAAUGUGGAGGUUUUGAAUUUGAAUUGUAAUAAUAAGUACUGUUACAAAUUUUAUGAAGAAACUGAUUAAGACCCCCCAAUUGUUCAUCAAAACUAAUUAUUACCAACAGUGAGUUUUCUCACAUUAUGGAUAUUUGGAAACAAUAAUAUUACCAAUUUUAAUAUUUGAGUUCAAACUUAAUCGUUAAUAAUAUACUUAGUCAUUAAUACUAUGUGUUACUCAUUUACUAGAUGAUGGAUUUCAUAACUUGUAACAGGAUAAAUAAUUGUUUAGUUCCUAUGUAUUAAGUAUCCGUUUAGCCCUUGCAUUAAAAAAAAAUACUUUAAAACACCAUUGUUAUUAAAUAUGUUACACUCCUAAUGUAUUUUUUUUUUUUAAUAAUGCCCUUACAAUAAUAUUCUCCGGGAUGUUAAUGAAGAGGAAAAAAAAGAUAAAUUUAUCAAAUUAGCUUUAAAAGUAACAUAAAAUUUAUUGAAAUUUUUAUAUUAUUAUUUGCUUUUAUGAUUAUUUGGUAAAUUAAUUUUUUUAUAAAAUAAUUAUUAGCAAGAUUAUUGCAAGGAUAUUAAACACUGCAUUAAGUUGGAUGAUAUUAAUUUAUUUGUAAAUAAUUAUCAGCAAGAUUGCUAAACGAGUACCCAAAAGAAAAACCAAUUCUUUCAUACUAAUAUUUGUUUGUUGAUAUGCUAAAAUUAACUUUUUUAAAGAUAAAUUAAUUAAUAUCAAGUGUAUUAUUAUAAGGAUAUUGUUGUAAAAACAAAGAAAAUAAUAGUAAAAAUGUAAUAUAUUUGACUGUAACGGUAUUUUGAGAUACUUUUUAAAAUAUAGGGACUAAACGAGUAUUUAGCCCUUGUAAAAUUACUUUAACACCAUCUAAUGGAUGAAUACUAUAUUAUUUAGGACUCAAAUUAGGAUUUAGACGUUGGGAUAUAUCUAACAUUGCUCUAACUGUUAUAAUAAAAGACAUUAAAAAAAAAAAAAGGUACGUUAACAUUUUUUUUUUAUGACAUGGGAGUUUUGAAACGUGAUGGAAAAUAUUAAUUUAUUGAAACAUUAAGGGGGGCAAUAGUCAUUUUCUUAAUUUUAUUUUUAUGUUUGAUGUCACAAAUGACAAAUAUAAAGUUCCAGAUUGAGCAUAAAUUUCGGCUCCAUAUUAUCGUGGUGGGGCUCAUUAGAAUGCGCGUAAUGCUUCAAUAAUUAAUUAUUGGGGUUAGAUCAACUUAAGCAUAUUAUUACGGGUUACUUAUUCAUAAAGACCUUAUUAUUAUAAAUUUGUUUCCGGAGCCACAAGCAUGAUUAGCUUAUCAUUGAACAAGGCUCAAGAUAACCAUGGCCCAUAAGAGAGGAUUUAAUCGACAAUAAAUUAAAUUAACCAAUGAUCGAAGAAUAUGUCUGCAGCUAGCAAGCUGUACCGCCCACAACUUUGUUUGACUUUGACGUGAGAAAUCAUGACAGCACAAACAAAUUGGCGGUGAAAAUUAAAAAAAAAAAUUGAUAAAAUCUGAUCAUCAAAAAGAUGUCCAUUCCCUUUUACAGAUCACGAACUUCGGUCUGAUUGAUCAUUGAUCAGAACUUCAUAAGUAUCGUUAUCAUCUUCCACUGAAAGUAGUUCUAAAUUUGACUGGUACGUCGGUGGGUAAUGAACGGUUGAUGAACCAUCCACGUGUUCCACGCUUUCCUAGUCUUCCGGCAACGCCAACAACAGCAGCAGUACUACUGCCCGUCUCGUAUUUUAAUUUGAUACAAAGAUGAAGUUAAAGUAAAGAGCAAGUGGGGUGGGGUGGGGUGGGCUGAGUGGGCUCCGUGGGGUCAUUUAGGAGACUAAAAGCACCAAGUGGUCCUUUGCCGUAACGAGAUAACGACAUUAGACCGAACCUGUAAAAGAGAUUCUAUCUUCUAUUAUUUGUUUAACAUAUAAAAGUGAUUUACGUAAUAAACAUGUGAAUUUUAUUUUAUUUUAUUUUUUCAAUUGAAUGGAAUCAGAGGAGACCCAUUUAGUACGUGGCAAAAUUGUUUUUAUAAUAUUAUUUGGAUGCUUUCAAUUGGACUACUUACUAUUGUUAGCACUUAAAGCAAGGGGACCCCUAUAAUUAUUGAGUGCGUGAACCUUUGAGAACGUGGGCGGUGAGAUUAUAACGAGCUGUCCCCUUUAAAUGGCACGUAGUCCUUCAGCUUUCCAUCUUUUGAGGAUUGGCGUUUCAGUUGUUUGAGUGCGGAACUUCUCUGAUUUGAUGUUGAUACUGUGGCAAUCUAGCCAGACAUUUUGCCCAACUAAAGUUUGAUUCGUUCAAGGUGAAAAAUCCUUUACAAAUAAUUCAUUUAUCCCAAAAAAAAAAAAAAAAAGAGUUUUAAAGUGGGAGAUGGAGAUCCACCAACUUGUUAUGUAUGUAAUUAGGGCUAUGCAUGUUAUGUGUCUUGAUUUAAAUAAUUAAUACGAUUUUUUUUAUAUUUAAUUUAACAGGCCGCCAAGCUGGCUUUUUGAUAUACAAUUCAUGUUUUACAUAUGUUAUAAAAUAUUUGGUAUUGGAAAGCAUGCACCACUAAUUUUAUGUCGACAACAUCAACAAUGAUAUAUGCCUAAAUUUUUGUACUAAAUUUUUUGUGUUUUUUUCACUCUCUGUGUGUGUAUCAUUAUUCAUUUCGGAUUGUAGGAUAUUAAAAAGGGCAAUGAAUCAUUUCAUAAUUUGAACUUAUUUGAGUUUUAAAGGAUCUUUUUACACAAGAAAAAAUGAUGCAGAGGAAAAAUAUUAAAUAUUUGGUAUUAAGAAGCAUGCUCCACUAAUUUCAUAUCAACAAGAUCAACAAUGAUAUGUCCACAAAUAGUAGUGUAUAUUUGUGGUCUUUGCACUAAAUUUUGUGCUUUUUCAGUAUUGUAUAUUCAUAUAAAUAUGCAUACAAACAUAUAUGUAUGUAUGUAUGUAUGUAUGUAUGUAUGUAUUUGUGGUCUUUGCACUAAAGCUCGACUGGAACACUCAAUUGUUGAAUAUAAGUAGCGAGUAGGGUCAAAUCAAUACUUUCACCGAAUUCAUAAUAAACACACCAGAAAUCUUAAUUCAUUAUAGCAUUGUAAAUUCUGGAAAGAAGUUCGGACCCAUCGGAGUCUCAAGCAUUAAAAUUUGGAGAAUGAAAUGUAAUUUCUAGGAGUUUCGAACAUAUUUUCUAAAAGUACAAAACAGAAAGAAUGAUUCUCUUUUUUCUCUAGAACACGUAAUGGUAGAAGCAAAAUGAGUAUAACAGAGAGCAUUAGGACGACAGUCCAUGUGCAUUUUAAAAAAAGCGUAAAAAAGUGCAAUCUUUUGGAAAUGGAGGGGGAGCAAAAGCAAUAUUUGGCACAAGUUUUGUUUUCAUGAUGAAUGAGUCCGGGCAUGGUUUUGUUAUUGAAACUAUAAUAUUGCGAGAAACAGGCAUUCGGCGAAUUCAUCAAACGCACAUCGAUUGGUGCAGGUGGGUAGCUAUGAUGAAUCAGGCUUUCACAUUUUUCCGUCAAAGGACGAGUCGAGUCGUGAAGCUUCACACUGAUUCCAAAACACUCUAAAAGUUAUGGAUUUGGGAAAUGAUGACGUGAGAGAUUACUCAAGGACGCAAUACCAGAAUCAAUUAUUUGUUUUGAUUUUGUAAGAUUCUUGAUCUGCGGCUAGUUAUCACCACAGCGUAUUCAACUGAAAAGAUAUCAAAGUUAUCGUGUCGUGCCUGUAACUGUUUGUGAAAUAUGAUCAUGGUUUUGUCGAACUCGAACACAGAUGACAAGUUUAGGAUUCCAACCGACUGUCAGCCACCAAGAUUGACCCACCCACCCAAAAGAAUGUCUGUGAAAUAAAAAAUUCCUAGGAUCGUAUGAAGAAUCAAAUGAUGAUGUUCAUUAAUUUAGAAUAACAACAAAAAAAAACCAUUAAAUGUUACUUUAACUUUUAAUAUCCACAAACCACUUGGGUUCAGCUCAAGUGGCUAGAGCCACUCCCUCACAUUUGUGAGGGAAAUGGUUCGAACCUCCACAUACGUAUUGUAAGGAUUUAAUUUAAAUGUCCUUCCUUGGAGUCCUAGAGUUUGAUUCACAAGACAGUAUUUCUCCCAAGCUGGGAGUUGACGUCCCUCGAAUAUUUGAGAGGGUUAAAAAAUCUUAGCGAUGCUAUAUCAACAUUAAUAUCAACAAAUCUCGGUAUAUAUAUAUAUAUAUAUGAUUGUACAUAUCAGUUAUACUCUCAUGUAAUAUAAAUUGUAAUUUGAACAAUAGUCUCAUGUCAUCAAAAAAAAAAAACUUUUAAUAUCCACAACUAAGUUAUAUAAAAUCAAUGAUUUAAAAUUUAUAUAAGAAGUUUAAGUCAAAAUUUUAAGUCAGAUUCCACAUUAGCCUAAAAAGACAACAUAAAAAAAUUACUCGUGUCAAAUUAUUUUUUAAGGUUUAAACGCUCUCCUAUGUACUGCGUUAUUUGCUCAGGCAGCCGAAGUUGAUAAGCUUGUCAAAGAUCCUUACGAGAUAAUUGUACAUGUAAUGAUGUAAAACGAAAACUAAUUGCCAUGAACAUUAGGUUCCUAAAUGAGAAGUUGAAGAAUGUUACAUCUUGCAUUACUUGUUCACUCUCCACACAUACCAAAGCAUGAAUAUCUGAACUUUGUUUAACAAAUGAAGUCGAGGAGAAAUGAGAAGGGAAAGAAACUAAUUAGAGGUAUUUUUUAAUAAAUGCCGUCCAAAGGUAGUAACCAUCAUUUUCAUCUUGAAUCUUUUCUAUUCCCCUUUCAAUCAAUCCUCAAACUCAUGCAUAUGGUCUAAAAGGUAGUUGGCAGCAAGUUCCUCAUUCUUGUUGCAGGCAAAGAACACCUCCAAUACAAUUGCUCGAUCAAAGCCCAUUGCCUCAAGCUGCAUCACAAGCCAAAGAACUGUCAUCACAAUAACCAAUAUAGAUAACAGGAUUUCAUGUCCGCUAAGCAUAUCUUGGCAUUUAAUAGAUAGGGGAAAACAGUCUUAUCAUAACAAUCAAUCUUCAAAGACUGAACUGUAGCCAUUCGUCACCCCACAAAAAUCAAAAUAAAUAAGUAAAUCCAGAAACCUGCUACAUCAGAAUAUCCUCACGCAACCAUAACUAAAUAUCCACUACCACAACAAAAAGUAACAAUGCACACACAACCAAAGUCAACGCACUUAUUAGUGAACUUACACGUUCUAUGGCUUCACGUUCUUCGGGCGUGACUUGUAUUGACUGUGGCAUUAACCCAGCAAGCUGGUCCCCCAAAUUCCUAUAACAAAUCAAUUAAUAGUAUCAAAAUUAACACAGACAAGUUCAGGAGUGGUAAUUGAAAGGGCAGGCUAUUCAGUGCAAAAAGGCACACAGUUCAGAAGAAUGUGGUGGAUAUUUUUAAGGUGUCACAUCUUACCUUGCAAUGCUGCCUUUGGUGAGAGGGUAAUUCUCACCAAAUCCACCCCCCCCCCAACCCAAACCCCCAACCAACCAAAAAAAAAAAUGCAAUAUGAAAAGUCUUACCCCUCACCACCUUGAACAGGUUCAUUGAUAAGCCGAAGGAAGUCAGCCUGAUGUUCCUGAAUAAGCCUCACUAGCUGAGGAUUUUGUUUCCCCAACUCUUGAAGCAUGGGCUGCAAAAUGAUGAUCGUUAAAAGAAUGUUCCGUUGAAGGAACAUAUAUCAGAUGGAGGAGAAUGAACCUGCAAUAAUUGAGGAUUUGCCUGCACCAUAGCUCGCAAAACUUGAAACUGCAAUGGAAUUAGAAAAAACAACAGUUCAGACAAGUUUACUUAAAUAUGAAUCAGUCAUUUGCACAUACACAGAAAGAUGCAAGUAUGCUUGCACAGAAGUGGGAACACACACGGGGUUAGAGAGAGAGAGAGAGACCUGUGGACUAUUACGUAAAAAGUCAAGACUGCCAGCGCCAGCUGCACCUGAACCCACGUCAGGAAGGCCCUGUUUCAAUAUAACUUGAGUAACUCAACCAAAAAAAACUCAAAAAUAAUAGCUAAAAAAUAAUCACAUUGAAAAUACCUGAGGAAAGAGGUCCAAAGGAUUUGCAUUUGGCCCACUAGAAGUAACGGGUGCCGGUUGGGUUGGCUGUGGCAUCUGAGUUGGAGAGUUAGCAGCUUGUCCAUUACCAGGGGCGCGGGCCACAGGUUGAACUUCAGCUUGCUCAGGUAUACCCUGAUAGUUUAAAUAGAAAAUUUGGAGGGGGGGGAAAAAUAAAAAACAACUGUGUAUAUACUGAGAUCAAAUGGAAUCGUAUGAAACUAAAUCGACAAUAGGCAGUGCCUCCUUGGAUGGGAAUGGUAUAAGAAUAAACCCAAGAAUGAAUUUAUAAAAAAAUUAAUUAUCCACCGACCACCUGUUUUUUCUACCUUUUUCAAAAAUACACAAUUUUUUUUUUUUGCAGUGCUUUAUCUGAAGUUAACAUUUUUUUCAUUGGUCCACUCCCAUUAUAACACUAUUAGAACUUUGCUGACAUCAUAAGGGUAAAAUUGUCAUUUCACGACAACACAGAAGUGAACAUGUGCAAUACAAUAUAACUUCAAGUGGAGUUCAGCCAAAAAAACAAAUUAAAAAUUGUGUAUUUUAUAAAAAAUGUGAAAAAAAAAGUGGUCAGCGGAUAAUUUAUUUACAUUUGAGGGUAAAAAAGUCAUUUAUAUAAUAUUCCGUUAGUUCUCUUCACAAUUUGAAGACGGAAGUGGAUAGGUGCAAAAUAAUGUAACUUCAGGUGGAAUUAAGCCCAAAAAAAAAAGAAUUGUGUAUUUUUGAAAAAACCCGAAAAAACAGAUGGUUGGUGGAUAAUUUCCCUUAUAAAAAUUAACAUUCAUACGAAGCCAGGAACUAAAGAAGAAUUACUAACACUUGCCAAUAAAAAAGGAGAAAUAAAUAUUCUUUCACUUAAACAGACGCAAGAAAACACUUCUUAUCUGACUAUACUGAGCCUUUCCUAGAAUACACUUCUUAUCAACUGCCUAAAAACAUUAAAGCUAUAAAAUAGCUAAGAAAACACAGUAGAUGAUUAAGCAUCUAAUAAAUACAUCAUUAACCUAGAACUAGCAAAAAUGGCAGUAGUUAAAAAUGGCAAUUUCAAUCAUAGGCAAGAAUCACAAAAUUGGACAAAAAUACUGAUCCUUUCCUCUAGGAAGAGCUCACCCAUUCUCCGAAACUGUUAUCAAUACAAGAAGUCAUCCAAACCACCCUAGUUAAAGAGUCGAAAAAAGACAUCAACCACUAGUUUGCUGCAUGUCUUUAUUCAGUCAGGAAAGAUGUAGCAUAACGAUUUUUUUUUCUUUUUUCUUUUUUUCUUAGACACACUCACACAUUAAGAGCAAAUUAUGAGAGAACAAUCUGAUGACAUAAUGCACUCAAAAGACUUCACUUCAAAAGCUCCAUCCUAAAUGAGUUACAAAUGUGUGAAAGAAUGAUGAAAUAUAGCAAUACUCACAGAAUAUAAAUAUUCAACAGCCCUCUCAGGAUUAUUAUAAGCAGCUCGAAGAGCACGAACAACAGUAUCUCUAUCCCAAGUCCCUCCACCCAUAUCAAGAAUCUGCUGGAUUGCUCCCUCCAAGUUGUUCCCAGCAACCAGAUUAGAUGCAGCAUGCCCAUACACACCAGACUCUGACCUGUCCCACCGAAGAGUGACUAUAAAGAGAAAACAAUGAUCCAGAAAAAGAAAGGAUAUAACCUAUGCCUACAUAUAUUCAUACACACCAAGACCUCAAGGAUUUGAAAUGAUUACAUCGACGUUACAGAGAGAAACAUCAAGCUACAAUGUAAGGGUGAAAAUACUCACGUAGCAGAAACUGAUGACACAGAAGCAGAAGCAGGAGCAGGAGUAGGAGCAGGUGUAGGCCUGUGAAAAGCAUAAAAUUAUGUAACUAUAAAAAUACAUUUAACCAAAAUGCAUUCUAUACCACUCAUAGAAUCUUUAAGUGUGUGCAGGCGAACACAUGAAAAUCAUCGACUCACUCUGUAGAGAUUGGCACGGCAGUCUGAGGAGCUGUUGCUGGGGUCACUGCAGGGGUUGGGGCACUUGACUGGGGAGCCUACAAUAGAGGCAUUCAGCAUAUGAUCAAUCCGGAGAGAGAGAAAAAAAGGAAUUGAAAAUGAUUUCUCUCUAUACAAGAAAAAUGCACUUGUUUAUCAUAAUAUAAAAGUAAACUUGACUAGGGAGCUUAAAGUGGAGGCAUUCGUCAUAUGAAUCAAUCCAGAAAGAGAGAAAAUUGAAACCAAUUUUUCUUUAAAUGAGAAAAAUGCACUAGAUGAUCGUAAUUAAGAAAUAAAUAUCCCAAAGAAACCAUAGGCCAGUGCACCAAGGAUUCCACAUCGUAACACGGAUAAGAGCAUUAGUAAAGAUAGGUCUUUCAUAAAAAGAACUUAAACGUAAAACAAUGCCUAACAUGGAUCUAAGCAGACGCUCAGAGGAUAUAAGCUUAGAAAACCUUACAAAUAGUUCACUACCAUUAUUAAUUAAGCACCAUAUUCAAAUAAAUAAAUAAUCCACCAAACCACAAUUAAAAUCCAAUUGGGAGCAAAAAGACACAAAUGUUUUUCAUAUAUACACAAUACAAAACUCUUCAAUAAUUUGGCUAAUUAUUCAGAGGUACAGAUGCAUCAGUACUGUGAAAACUUUGAUUUCCUCCACUGCCCUACUAGUAAGAGGGCUAAAAGAACAUCGCUCAAAUAUGUGCACAGACACAUUUCUUACUUUGCUAUGUGUGCUUCUCAUAGCAACAUGUUCUUUCAGAACAUUGAAAGUAAAAUUCUUUGCAACAGGCAUUCCAUGAAUAAAAUAGCUAGUAAAAUGUUUAUUUCAAAUGCCAGGGAAUUAAAACCAAAUCUAUUCUUACCUUUGUAGGCGCAGUUGACGUAGUUGAACCUUCACCAGUUGGUCUCUUAUUCUAGCAACAUUACAAAGGGGAGAAGAAAAAACAAAAUGAGAUGACCAAAGAGAAGUGUCACAUAGCAUUGUCAAUAUUCAGGAGGAAAUUCACCAGAAAAAGGAAAUGAAUAGUGGAAAGGAGAGGUGCAUGCAAAGAAAUGAUGGAGUAAUGAAAUUAAAAUUCCUAAUUUCUCGUCAUGAAAUUACAAUUACUAAUUUCUCACUAUAAAAUUUCAAGAGAAAAACUUAAUUGUCAGUAACUCCGAGAGUAUUGAGAAUCUUUUUCUCAUGUCAACUGACACUAAAUAAACAUCAUGCAAAAUUCACGUUCCAAGGAACUUCAAUCAAGCCAAUAGUUUUCUGCUUGAAUAUGCCCCUCAGUUCUUCAAAUUAAACCCAUGAGCAUGGAACAGAUUUUUCAUUCAUUACAAAGCUCCAAAUUCCCAACAGUUUUUCAGAUAUGCAUUGAGGUAUUGUCUAAGGUAUGGCAAUAAAUCAACUUUGUAUUAUUCAAGCAGUAGAAAAUCAUAAAUAUCACAAUCCUAGCUCAUGCUGAAUAAAUCCUUAAUUGUUCUUCAAAUAGGCAUCAAGUCAACUUUCACUUCAAACAGGCUGGUAAAUCAUAAAUGCUAUACUCUUAUUUCUUUUUACUUGCCAAUCUAAAAUCCAAAUGAAAAAUGUGAUGCUCACGUCACAGUAAAAUUUUGUCUAUAAAAGAAUUCAUGGCAAAUUUAAAACAGCAUUGCGGGAUACUACGAUCAGCAGAAAAGCCUAAAAAAUCAAGUUGAAUAAUGUUUUCACAGAAAAGUACAUGUAAAAAUCAUUGAAUUCAAACAAAAGCAGUUCUGCAAAAAUACAGACAAAAAGAAAAACGUCACCUUUGUUAACAUAAUAACAACAAAACUAUUUUCAGCUACUUUGUUCUCUUCCAGUGUAGUAUCAUCUUUGAGGACUUUCCCCUGAUAAAUCAGCAUCUGUUGUGCAGCAGGAUAAACAUCCGAUCCUUGAACAGUUUCUAUCUUCAUUUUCACAUCAAAGACCUAAAAAGAAAGAUCAUAAGUUCUUAUAGUUGUCUUUAAAGAUAGAAGUAAUACAGAAAACAUCCAAUCUCCGGUUAGUGUUAGAUACUGAAGAGUGCUAAGGUAUUAGUUAAUUGGAAAAAAUAAAAUAAAAUAAAUAUUAAAACAAGAGGGAGAAAUCCUACUCCCACUGUCUAAUAAAAUUGACUUGAAAUCCAAAUCCCAUUAACCUUCUGAAUAAACAUUCUUCUACAGUUAAUUUUACUCUAUCUAGUUAAAUGAAAUAGACAUGAAAUUCUGCUGGCUGUUGGGUCAGUUGUACACCAGAAUGUUCUGAAAACAACAGCGGCAUCCUACUUUCAUUGUCAAAUGCCUUCUUCUCUUGUUGCAUCAAGACUUUGCUUGGAUUUAGCUCUCCAUAGAAUUCACAUUUAGGCACAAUCAUGUCAAAAAUCCUUCACUGUGUACAGCCUCCACAUCCUCCCCACAACAAACAUUUUACAUGAAAACUUUCAAAGGCAACACUCCAAACCGAUUUUUUAUGGGCGAAUCCAUAAGCAAAACAACUUCCUACCUGAAUUCACCACAUUCAAAUACAAACUUACUCCAAUCUAACAGUCCCCAGUCCAAAUGACCACGAGAAAACCCCAAAAUAUUCGAACAAGCUAUAACACAAUGUCUUCAAGAUUCACUGCAUUGAUAUACUUGUUGAGAUCUUUUAAAGUUUGCUUGUGCAACUUGAUGCUUUACCCCUUUGGUUUCUAAAAUCAAGUUAAGGUGUCAAUGUGAUUGACCAUCCGUUCAUCCAAUCAUUUAUUCUCAUAAUGUCAUUGCACUCUCAUCAGUACAGUGUUCACAAAAACAUAUUCUUACCACGUGGGUUCAAAGGUUGAAUGGCAGCGAAUAAAACACAUUUCCUAAGGCUGUACCGACACCAAACUAGACUCUUCUACACAACACAAUUAGAAUGAAAUCAAUCACCGUCCUAAUAUACACUACACAACUACCUAUCCAUCCACCACAAUCAAUUCACUAACUCAAAUUUGCCGCAAUAUUGAAGAAAAAAAUUAUUUGAACCAUAUAUAUAAACAAAUUUACAAAAUUAAAACAAAAAAUGAAACCAAAUUUGAACAAUUACGAAUCAACACUUAAAAUUCGUGAUUCCAAAUAGAUGAACCCUAAAUAUCACUCAAUUUCGGGAACAGAGAAUAUCGAUUGCAACAGAACUGAACAUAAUAUGAAAUUAAAAAUAAACAAAAAAAGGGGGGGAAAAACAAAAACAAACCGUGUCUUCAGGUUUCACUUCGACGUCGAAAGAAGUUCCUUUGAGAGUUUUAACGAAAAUCUUCAUCAUCUUCUUCUUUUUCUACGUUCCGUUGGGUCUCUCGAAUUCAACUAUUUUAUUUGGUUUUCCGAUCCGCAAGGUCUUUUCAAUGUCUAUCUAUAAUUGAUACAGUCGGAGAGAGAAAACCGAAGCACAAGUUAAGAAGCAUAUAGAAGAACUUCCCUUCAUGAAUAUCUACUGACAAUAAAAUAUAUUUAAAUAUGUAGCAUAGCGCAAGUCAGUUUCUGCCUUUACGGUUUCCAAAGGAACGGGAUCUGAUGACGCCACGUGGCUCGAAGCUGAUCUUGCGGCUAACGAUUUGCCAGGUGGAUUAAGAGAUAGCUACGUUUGUCUACGUGGCGUGGUUUGGAUUAAGUUAUGUGGUUGUCUGUUCACUCGAAGCGUGGUUUCUACUCGGGAGAAAGGAGUUUGUUAAAGAGUGGGUGGUUGUUUGGCCUUCCAAAUUCUUCCAAGUUGUUUUACUUUCAACUUAUUAGAGCCUUGUUCAAAUGGGAUCCUCUAUCUUACAUGCAUGUAAGAUACAUGUCUCUCACAUAAAUAGUGUGUGGGUCCCACAUAUACACUAUUCAUGUGAGAGGCAUGUAUCUUACAUGCACGUAAGAUAGAGUUUGCCUGUUCAAAUUCCUUUUAAAAUAUCGGGCUAUGAAUUGGAAGACCUUUUAAAAUAUCGGGCUAUGAAUUGGAAGAAAAUUUAAUCACACAUACAUGUUAAGGUGGCAGAAAUUUCUUGCGAAGCGCCCCUAAUCAUUCGAGCUAUGAAUUGGACCUGGUUUUGUAUAUCAUCGAGAAAACAAUUGAAGGGUCCACAUAACCAAACGAGGGUCUUUUGGUGUUGGACGCGACGGUCGGGAAGGGGAGCUGGCGGUGGGUACAGUAACAGUUACCAUACUUUUGGAGAGAGGUAUUACAAGUAAAUUUACAUAAACAAGGGCCACGAUUGAAUUGUGAUUAAGUUUCCGAUUUUCAUCCAUUUAUUUUUUUAUUAGGUUGAGUUCAAGAAUUUUAAUUUUUAACACAUUAUUAUUAUAUUAUUAUAGUAAAAGAUGCCACGGGCGGACCUACCAUGGGGUUUAAGAGGGACUUCAACCCUUUCUAAACUUUAAAAUGUAUUGAAAAUUUUAUAUUUGGUCUAUUUAAAAAUAUAGAAUCCCUUUUAAACUUUCAAAAUUUCUUUUUAAAUAUGUUGUAUGUUUGGUCUAAUUCUUAGUUUAUUAUAUAUGUUUUGGAUUUGAAAGUGGUGUCCAAGUUAAGAUUUAAUUGCUUGACAUGUUGUCCAUCUCAUAAUUUUAAAUUUUAAAAAAUAUCAAGCAAAAAAACAUUGAUUUUUAACUUCUUAUUGAGUCUAUCGAGUUCAGCACUCUUUCAAAAAUAAAUCUGUAUGGUCUCUUUCUCGCAUUUUAAUUAAAAGCGAAUAAAAUAUUAAAGUUUUCUUAUACGAUUUAAAUAGGUCCAGUUGAGUUGGAGUUAUUUGAUCAACUAAAUUUUUUACUAUUUGUGGUAACCUUUUAUGUUUGCCUCAAAUAGUUAUACCAGUUUAAGUCAUUGAUUGAAAAUAACAAGGACGGAUUUAUUGUUCAAAUUUCAAAUUGUUGAUUAAGUUGACGACAAUCGUAAAUGUUGAAAAUUAUUAAUUAAAUGAAGUUUAACAAUUUGGCACUUAUCAUUUUUGGUUCAACAUUUUUUUUCAUUGUAUUGCACUAAGCCUCGCCUAGAUAAAAUUUAUGGGUCCCCCAUAAAUAUGCGUGACAGGAUGGUUCUUUUUUUUUUUCCACCAAAAAUCAAUCAAGGAUUUUGUAUAUAUAAAUUUCAAUACACAAUAUGAUAAAUUAUAUUGUACUAGAGAUAAUUUAUCUUUUAACUCAUAACUCAUUAUUGACUUUAAUAUGAUCACAGAGUGUUUAUUGAAAAUUGUAUAUUAUGUAUUUAUGGUUUCAAUUAUAUACACAUACUAAUAUUUUUUGUUUUGGGUGAUUUGAAUGGGGAUGGUUUCUUUUGUCCGAAGGAACAACAUAUUUAAAGGAAAAAUGAAUACAAAUAAACCUAAAGGCUGCAAAAUAUACUCAUAUAGCCACAUCCGGGCCAAACAAAUGAGUUAUAAGAUAAUUACAAAUUUUAAUCAGAGAGUGGAUUUUUGACACCUUUAAAACCACCUUUGUAACUAAAAUUACCUAAAUAACCAAAUAAAAUAAAAUUCGUUUCUUAUUUUUAAAAUGGGAAUUCAAUCAAAUAUUUUAGACCACCAUAUUUCAUAAUUUAUAUUUUUAUUUUUAUUUUAAUAAAAAAUAUUUUGAGAAAAUGAUAGGAGCUUAAAUUUAUGAAUUAAAAACUAUAUGACAAGAAAAAAAUAAUUUAAUAUUUUAGGAUUUGUAAGUAAUUUAUAAUUAAAAACUUUAAAAAUAUACAAUUUUUUAGUUUUAUGGGAAGAUGGUUAAUUGUAAUAUAUGUAUUUGUAUUUUGUAAAUUAAAAUGGAGAUAUUUUAAGAAAUAACAUUCAAUUAUAAGGAUUUUAGAGGGGUGCUAAUAGCUCCAAUCCUAACCAAAUGAACAGCAACGGAAUUGUCUUCCCAACAGAUGUUUCUGACAAUGAAAACGUAGGCCCACUGAAAUGGAGCCCAAAAAUGUCCUGAAAAGGCCGAAUAAAUACCUUGGGCUCAUGAGAAGUGCUUCUGCCACCUCAGAAAAAUCCUUAUAAAACUCCACUCUACAAUCAGUGGACUAAAAAAAAAAAAAACAACAACAUCAAUACAAACCAUAAAAUGACUCUUUUCUCCCUCCACAAAGAUUUUACGGAAGAUAAUUUAUGUUUUAUGUUUUAUUAAAACUAAAACAUAAAUAUAAAUUAUGAUUGUAGAGUAGAGUUUUUUUUCUUGAGAAAAUAAUAGGAGCUUAAAGUUAUGAAUUAAAAAUUAUAUGACAAAAAAAUAAUUUAAUAUUUUAGGAUUUAUAAGUAAUUUAUAAAUAAAUAUUUUGAAAAUAUACAUUUUUUAGGAUAAAAGAUUUUAAGGAAGAUAGUUAAUUGUAAAUUGUAAUAAAUGUAUUUGUAUUUUGUAGAUUAAAAUGGAGAUAUUUUAAGAAAUAACGUUCAAUUAUAAGGAUUUUAGAGGGGUGUUGAAAGCUGAAACCUCCAAUCUCUACCAAAUGAACAGCAACGGGAUUGUCUUCCCUAUGGAUGUUUCUGACAAUGAAAACGCAGGCCCAAUGCAGCCGAGCCCAAAAAUGGCCCGAAGAGGCCAGAUAAAUUCGUUGGGCUCCUGAGAAGUACUUGUGCCACCCAAGAAAAAUCCUUACAAACUCCACUGAUUAAUCAGAGGACUAUUAGCUACACUCAUUUUAAUUUUUAAAAACAACGCUAUACACAGACACACGCACACUCACACAAUACAAAGUAGAAACAAUAAAACGACUCUUUUCUCCCUUCACAGAGGUCUUCCAGUAACAUUCUAAUUUUACAUUAAUUUGUCAUCCAAAGUUAUUUUUUUUUUUAAAAAAAAAAAGGGGUUAGAUUGUCAUCCAUAAAAUAGAGUUAUUUGCGUCCCUGCUGUGGCAUUGAAAAACCUUUGAAGUUCCUUAAUUGAAACUACCCAUUUGCUUUUUCUGAGUUAAGAUUUAUUCAACUAUUUAGUAUUUUUAAUUUAAUGACAAAUAUUUAGUAUUUAGUCAGUUUUAAUAUUGAUUUGAGAUUGAACAUCUGUUUAAGAAGACUUCUAGUGUUUAAAGGAGGAGAAGAAGAAGAAGAAGAAGAAGAAGAAGAAGAAGAAGAAGACUUCCUGAAAACAAACUUGCAUUUCCACAUCUGUGUUUGAUUUUUCCGAUCUAUCUUCCCACAACUCAAACCCAUUUGAGUUUCUUUCAUAAACUGAUCUUCAAAUUUUGCCUUACUUUCAUAUUUCAUAGUCUUAAAAUGUAGAGUGGUGAAAAGAAAGAAUUCCAUAGUCUCCAAAAGGGGAUUAAUUUAAUUUGGCACGAUUGCAUGUCAAAGAAUAUUGUUUUCAGCAGUAGACAAUUCUGGCAUUUACGAAGCUACACAGUCCCAAGUCAGCCAGCAUAGGCGUAAAUUCAGCAUCCAACAUCUAUUGAAACUUUAAAGCUUUAAACCAUGAAGCAAAAUUUUCAAAGAUUAUUAUUCUCAUUGAGGAUAAAAUUGUAAAUGUAAAUACGUGCGGUUUGAUAAGAAUAUUUUAAAGGGCAACUCAUUUGCAAAAGCCAUUUGUGGGCCUUCACCACCCAGGCCCAAAAAAGCAGAGCCCAACGGAGGGAUUGACUAAGACUUGACCUACAAAUUGACGUGGAAGUCAACUACUUACGUUAACGACUUGGUAAGUAAAUUAUAAUUAUAACGUGUAAAUCAAAAGUGGAGGCAAUAAAGAAAAGUACUUAGGCAGAACCAAUCCCCCAAGAAAUUACCAGGCAGUGGGGAAAACGACUUUUGAGGGGGGGGGGUUGGGGUUGCAAAAGUAAAAGGGAUCUGGACUUUUGUAUCCUUCGUUUACAAGGGAAACAACUUUCACGACAGGUUUUUUCACAAUUUUGAUUUUUGAAAGCAUCCUUGCAAUUUCCAGGCAACUUCCUCGAAAGACACCCCUUCAAAUUCUGUCUCAAUUUUCUCCUCAGGAUUGGAUAAUUGCUUUUUUGGCAUGUUCAUAUUGGCAGUUGUACGCAAUCAUCCGCGUUAAAAAUACGUUUAUGAUUGUGGCAGUUUUAUGAGUAUGAUUGAAAUCAAUAACGUUCUUUUUCUUCUUGAAAAAUAUAAAAAUAAAACAAAACCAAAGAAAUACAUAUUUCAUUUUACUUGGUCGCAAUUGGAUAGUGAUACAAUAAUAAGCAAACACUCUAAAGUCCCGUUUGAUAUUGAAGUUGAAAUUCAAUAAGUUGCUUAUUUUAUUUUAUAGUGUUUAUUACAACAAGUUUAAUGUGAAUGUAUUACAUUUUAUUUUUUUUAUUUGGAUUAUGUAUUAAUAAUUUUUUUCACUUUAUUUAAUUUUAUGUGUUUUAAAAAGAAAAAAAUACGUUUAAAUAUUAUUAAAUAUACUUCAAAAAAAUAAAAGGAAAUUUUAACUUAUAUCUAUUUUAAUUAUUAUAUAAUAUAACAGAUUUAUAAUAAAAUUUACUAAACACAUAUAGAAUAUUUUUUAAACUCACAACAAUCUUAACAAUAUAAUUAACUCAACAUCAAGCUACUUCUUUCAGCAGCCUAUUGCAUCUGUAAAAUAAAAUCAGCCUAUUAAAUCAACAACUACAAUCUCGUACACCUAAAAUCAAUUCACACCAUAAAAAGUACCCCAACAAAAUGCACCGACAAAUUUAAUUCAAUAAGAAAAAUUUUAAAAUACAUCAAAUAUAUUAUGUCACAUGUAAAUUAAAAAUAAAUAAUAAUAUAACAUAUGUACAUUUAUUUAUUUUUUAAAAAAAAAAACACCAUGUAAAUAAUAAUUAUAUUAAAUUUAAAUUACAGGUCAUACAUAUAUUAAUCAAUUAUAAUACCUCAGAUGUAGUCUCCUCAUUUGAUAGAUACGUUUAAACAUAUCACUAGGUUUAGCUAUUCAACACAUGCCUAUAUACCAUGUAAUGCACCACCUGGUUUAGCCAUUACUUAAAUAAGAUCCACUAUUCAUGUAGUUCACAAUUUCAGUUAAUAAUUUUUCACAAAAUAUUAAAUAAUUCACCGGACGAUGGCACAAACUCUUGAUUGGAUAACAAGGGCGGGAAGAAAAGAAAAAAGGAGAUCACGGAUCACCUCAACUAAAAUUGGCCCAACUAAAGAAUUGUCAUUAACAUUUAUUUUUAAUUGGUAGAUAGAUUUAGGAACACCC